Molecule: ribosomal RNA, 301 nt
Filed under: uncultured bacterium
Lineage: Bacteria
Description: partial 16S ribosomal RNA
Rfam family: Bacterial small subunit ribosomal RNA
Source: RNAcentral
CAGCAGCCGCGGUAAUACGGAGGGGGCUAGCGUUGUUCGGAAUUACUGGGCGUAAAGCGCACGUAGGCGGCUUGGUAAGUUAGAGGUGAAAGCCCGGAGCUCAACUCCGGAAUUGCCUUUAAGACUGCCGAGCUAGCAGGUGAGAGAGGUAAGUGGAAUUCCGAGUGUAGAGGUGAAAUUCGUAGAUAUUCGGAAGAACACCAGUGGCGAAGGCGGCUUACUGGCUCAUACUGGACGCUGAGGUGCGAAAGCGUGGGGAGCAAACAGGAUUAGAUACCCGCGUAGUCCCUGUCUCUUAUAC